UUGAACGCUGGGGGCGGCGUGCUUAACACAUGCAAGUCGAACGGGAUCCAUCGGGCUUUGCUUGGUGGUGAGAGUGGCGAACGGGUGAGUAAUGCGUGACCGACCUGCCCCAUACACCGGAAUAGCUCCUGGAAACGGGUGGUAAUGCCGGAUGUUCCAGUUGAUCGCAUGGUCUUCUGGGAAAGCUUUCGCGGUAUGGGAUGGGGUCGCGUCCUAUCAGCUUGACGGCGGGGUAACGGCCCACCGUGGCUUCGACGGGUAGCCGGCCUGAGAGGGCGACCGGCCACAUUGGGACUGAGAUACGGCCCAGACUCCUACGGGAGGCAGCAGUGGGGAAUAUUGCACAAUGGGCGCAAGCCUGAUGCAGCGACGCCGCGUGAGGGAUGGAGGCCUUCGGGUUGUAAACCUCUUUUAUCGGGGAGCAAGCGUGAGUGAGUUUACCCGUUGAAUAAGCACCGGCUAACUACGUGCCAGCAGCCGCGGUAAUACGUAGGGUGCAAGCGUUAUCCGGAAUUAUUGGGCGUAAAGGGCUCGUAGGCGGUUCGUCGCGUCCGGUGUGAAAGUCCAUCGCUUAACGGUGGAUCCGCGCCGGGUACGGGCGGGCUUGAGUGCGGUAGGGGAGACUGGAAUUCCCGGUGUAACGGUGGAAUGUGUAGAUAUCGGGAAGAACACCAAUGGCGAAGGCAGGUCUCUGGGCCGUUACUGACGCUGAGGAGCGAAAGCGUGGACG
RNAcentral lists this ribosomal RNA (730 nucleotides) under Bifidobacterium longum subsp. infantis. RNAcentral describes it as "bacterial SSU rRNA". It matches the Rfam family "Bacterial small subunit ribosomal RNA", at positions 29 to 767 of the family's 1533-position model. Lineage: Bacteria; Bacillati; Actinomycetota; Actinomycetes; Bifidobacteriales; Bifidobacteriaceae. The record is from RNAcentral.